Long non-coding RNA from Oncorhynchus tshawytscha (Chinook salmon), 1038 nucleotides. Lineage: Eukaryota; Metazoa; Chordata; Actinopteri; Salmoniformes; Salmonidae. The record is from Ensembl.
UGUCUAAGUAUUUCUGAACAAUAGUAAAUUCUGAAGGACAGAGUAUGUGAAUUAAUACCAGAAAGUAUAUAUUACUAGUUAGUAGAACUGCUACUUGAGCUGAGUUGCUGACAGACAGCAGUUUUCAAAGUGUAAACUAAUCAGUAGACCCACAUGUUAUCAGUAACACGUCUGGUAAAGAUGGUGGAGGAGCUUUUCAAUGAUAUGGUUUUAUGUUUAUCUCAGGGUUUCUCCAUCCUUUUGUUCUUACCAGCACUUACACACCUGAUUCAACUAAUCAUCACAUAUUUUAAGACAGUUUAAUAUUUGAGGCAUACAAAUGAACAUUCUCAAAUUAAAACCUUUUGGAUUUGGUAAACCUGUUAACAAUUAUUAAAGGCCUACAGUAAUGUAAGAGAGACGUCUCGAAGAAGGACUAUACAUUUUUUUGAAGCAAGAUGCGGCACAAUGUCAUGAUUUACUGCUGUCGCAUGAAGCUGACUGUUAGCGCCACCCUCUGGUUACUGUUGUUAUGUGAAGGGGUGACGCCUUGACUGCAGUUGAAAUUGAAAACAGAAAGUAUCUGUACAGGGCCAUUUUGAGAUGACAGAGCAGCUCAUAGUUGAAUCUCUAAACUGCAACGCAGUUUCACAGUAAAGUGAGUAUUUCAGGUUAAUAAUCUAGAAUAAAGUAGAGGGGACAUGUGGAAUACAGUAAACUAGUGUCUGAGUGCUGCUGAGUCAUUCCUACCAUGAAAUAUCAGUUCUUAUUUAGUGAAAGCUGAAAUAAAUCAUUCUCUCUACUAUUAUUCUGACAUUUCACAUUCUUUAAAAUAAAGUGGUGAUCCUAACUGACCUAAAACAAGGACUUUUUACGAGGAUUAAAUGUCAGGAAUUGUGAAAAACUGAGUUUAAAUGUAUUUGGCUCAGGUGUAUGUACGUGUAUAUAUUAAUUUACUGCUCUAAGGAUAUAAUUAUUGUUUACAUCACCUUAUUACUAUUAUGUUUAGAUUUUUCCCUUCCAUUUGUUUUACUAUUUAUGUGAUGUGCAAUGCAGAGA